This is a non-coding RNA of Caenorhabditis elegans, 145 nucleotides long. The record is from Ensembl. NCBI's taxonomy places the organism in Eukaryota, Metazoa, Nematoda, Chromadorea, Rhabditida, Rhabditidae.
UUCACCAGUCAGUUCAAGCAGUCCGUUUUUUCUUCAUUUUUACUUUCCACUUUUGAAGAUUCUGUAAAUCAAAUCUGAUUGUUAAGUAGACAGACGAGAAGGAAAACUUCUCUUCGAAAAACAAACUGAAGAGGCGAGUUUUUGC